Molecule: long non-coding RNA, 656 nt
Organism: Rhagoletis pomonella (apple maggot)
Lineage: Eukaryota; Metazoa; Arthropoda; Insecta; Diptera; Tephritidae
Exons: 2
Source: RefSeq, a predicted model, not a curated record
GAAAAUGUAGAAAAUUCACUUGUAUCCAGUUAGUGCGCUUUUGUCAACAGUGAAACAACAUGUCUUAGCUGCAUUGCUUAUCAGAUCAAUAUAAGAAGAAAAAUACAAUAUUAAGAACAGUUUGCAUUAAAAACUAUUAACUACAAAUUAAAUAGCAGGAGUACAGAAACAAAAAUUACUCCUACUACGCAUAAUUGCAGUAAGAAAUACAUAAAUACAUCAUUUUGAGAUUAAGAACCACCGAGGCGAAAAUCCAGCUGCUCCGAUAACACCACCUUAUUUCUUAAAAAAAAUAACAACCAACUUUGACAAUUUUUUGUAUAUAAAAUCAACCAAUAUUAAUUUUUUGAAGUCCAUGCACUGACUACAUGUUACCUUACUUUACGUCAGCACGAUAUUCAGCUUCAUUACUGGACUGGCCCGGUAGACAUGGGAAUGGAACGAAAUGUGAUGUUUUAACAAACAUAAACAACAAUAAAUGUGCAUACACAUGCAAGUAUGAAUCAGCAACCCUGUCUUGUGCUCAGUGUGACCGCGGGCUUGUAAAAAAUUGUAGCAGAGCAGAGACUUAAAAUGUAUCAAAUGUAUCACUUUUUUAUCUUAAGCAUCAAAGUAUCAAUAUGGAAUAAAACCAAUAAUUUUUAUGAAAAACCAUU